RNAcentral lists this ribosomal RNA (1355 nucleotides) under uncultured bacterium. Its description in RNAcentral is "16S ribosomal RNA". It matches the Rfam family "Bacterial small subunit ribosomal RNA", at positions 98 to 1464 of the family's 1533-position model. The record is from RNAcentral.
GCGCACGGGUGCGUAACGCGUAUGCAACCUGCCUUAUACAGGGGAAUAGCCCAUGGAAACGUGGAUUAAAGUCCCAUAGAAUCAAGAUAUCGCAUGGUAUUAUGAUUAAAACUGAGGUGGUAUAAGAUGGGCAUGCGUCUGAUUAGCUAGUUGGUAAGGUAACGGCUUACCAAGGCUACGAUGUCUAGGGGUUCUGAGAGGAUGAUCCCCCACACUGGUACUGAGACACGGACCAGACUCCUACGGGAGGCAGCAGUGAGGAAUAUUGGUCAAUGGGCGCAAGCCUGAACCAGCCAUCCCGCGUGCAGGAUGACGGCCCUAUGGGUUGUAAACUGCUUUUAUACACCAAGAAAAACUACCACGUGUGGGUGCCCGACGGUAGUGUAUGAAUAAGCAUCGGCUAACUCCGUGCCAGCAGCCGCGGUAAUACGGAGGAUGCGAGCGUUAUCCGGAUUUACUGGGUUUAAAGGGUGCGUAGGCGGAUUGAUAAGUCAGUGGUGAAAGCCUGCAGCUUAACUGCAGAACUGCCAUUGAUACUGUAUAGCUGGAAUAUGGUUGCUGUGAGUGGAAUGUGUGGUGUAGCGGUGAAAUGCAUAGAGAUCACACAGAAUAUCGAUUGCGAAGGCAACUCACAAAGCCAUUAUUGACGCUGAGGCACGAAAGCGUGGGGAUCAAACAGGAUUAGAUACCCUGGUAGUCCACGCCGUAAACUAUGAUUACUAGUUGUUGGCGAUACAUUGCCAGUGACUGAGCGAAAGCAUUAAGUAAUCCACCUGGGGAGUACGUUCGCAAGGUUGAAACUCAAAGGAAUUGACGGGGGCCCGCACAAGCGGAGGAACAUGUGGUUUAAUUCGAUGAUACGCGAGGAACCUUACCCGGGCUCGAACGGUGCAGGAAUAUGUCAGAGAUGUCAUAGCUAGCAAUAGUCUGUAUCGAGGUGCUGCAUGGUUGUCGUCAGCUCGUGCCGUGAGGUGUCGGGUUAAGUCCCAUAACGAGCGCAACCCUUAUCGUUAGUUGCCAGCGGGUCAAGCCGGGGACUCUAGCGAGACUGCCACCGUAAGGUGAGAGGAAGGUGGGGAUGACGUCAAAUCAGCACGGCCCUUAUGUCCAGGGCUACACACGUGUUACAAUGGCCGAUACAAAGGGCAGCUACCAGGUGACUGGAUGCGAAUCUUUAAAAUCGGUCUCAGUUCGGAUCGGAGUCUGCAACUCGACUCCGUGAAGUCGGAUUCGCUAGUAAUCGCGCAUCAGCCAUGGUGCGGUGAAUACGUUCCCGGGCCUUGUACACACCGCCCGUCAAGCCAUGGAAGUUGGGGGUGCCUAAAGUUCGUGACCGCAAGGAGCGCCCUAGGGUA